Molecule: unclassified non-coding RNA, 598 nt
Filed under: Hevea brasiliensis (rubber tree)
Lineage: Eukaryota; Viridiplantae; Streptophyta; Magnoliopsida; Malpighiales; Euphorbiaceae
Source: RNAcentral
GUAGAUUCAUUGCAUUAGAAAGCCUUAGGGUUUAUGUAAUAGGAAAGUUCACAUAGGAACCACCAAGAUUACAAAUAAAAACCUAAGCUUACAAAUCAAACCACCCUUUAGCUUAAAAUAAAUAAAAGAGUCCAAGUUAAUUGGCCCGAUUCCUAGGGUACAUUGGGUGUCUGACCCGGAUGAUCCGACUCGACGCUCCCUAAAGUCAAAAAUCCUCAGUGUCGUCUCCAUCACUCAAAUGCCAAUCUUUCCUCCUAAAACUCAGUUGCUCAUAUUCAGCACCAAAGAUCCUCCAAAUAGCUAAAAAGGCAACCAUCCAAAACGCAUCAGAGCAAGCUCGGAGAAUCUUCUCUUCUAAACACAUCCUAAGGAUCUCAAUGCAGAUUAUUGGAUCAAGCUGAAGCCAAUAGAGUUGAAAAAUUCAAAGUAGCUAAUCCUGGAUGAAUAGCAUAGCAGCGGGAAAGUUGCAUAUUUAACUAAAAAUUGUUAGAGUAGUUGCUAACACAUGUUUUGUUACUCACUAAUCAAUUAGCAUAACUAAUUUUUGAUGUAAAGAUAUUCUAUAAAUAGUGAGCCAAUCAAUAAGAAGAAGUAGAUU